AACCAUAUCGCGUUUGGGAUGC
Molecule: microRNA, 22 nt
Filed under: Panagrellus redivivus
Lineage: Eukaryota; Metazoa; Nematoda; Chromadorea; Rhabditida; Panagrolaimidae
Description: prd-miR-2-5p
Gene: prd-miR-2-5p
Source: miRBase by way of RNAcentral